GACGAACGCUGGCGGCGUGCUUAACACAUGCAAGUCGAACGGUGAAGGGACCGGUUUUUGCUGGUUCUGGAUGAGUGGCGAACGGGUGAGUAACACGUGAGUAACCUGCCCCCUUCUUCUGGAUAACCGCAUGAAAGUGUGGCUAAUACGGGAUAUUCUGCGCCUGCUGCAUGGUGGGUGUGGGAAAGAUAUUGUUUCGGUGGGGGAUGGGCUCGCGGCCUAUCAGCUUGUUGGUGGGGUGAUGGCCUACCAAGGCGGUGACGGGUAGCCGGCCUGAGAGGGUGGACGGUCACACUGGGACUGAGACACGGCCCAGACCCCUACGGGAGGCAGCAGUGGGGAAUAUUGCACAAUGGGCGCAAGCCUGAUGCAGCGACGCCGCGUGAGGGAUGGAGGCCUUCGGGUUGUAAACCUCUUUCGCCAGUGAAGCAGGCCUGUCCCUUUUGUGGGUGGGUUGACGGUAGCUGGAUAAGAAGCGCCGGCUAACUACGUG
Molecule: ribosomal RNA, 493 nt
Filed under: uncultured bacterium
Lineage: Bacteria
Description: partial 16S ribosomal RNA
Rfam family: Bacterial small subunit ribosomal RNA
Source: RNAcentral